GACCAAACCAAACCGUCCAGUAACUUCCUCAUUUCUCCCACAAACGCAAAAACCCUUCUUCUUCGCUCUACUCUUUCUCUCUCCUGUUCUUCAAAGAAGGCGUAGACGCCUUCGAUUUCUUCUUCAUUUCUGCUCUUUUUCUCUCUCCUAUUCAACAUUCUUUCUUCGUUUCAGAUCUAGUCAAAUUCUUUAGCCAAAAUGAGGAUUGAAAUGCCUGCUGGGAGCUUUACUGUCUUGAGCACGGUAUUCAGACUGUCUUUGUGAAAGUCUUGUCGAUCUGCUGUCUAUGGUAUUUUGAGGUUUUGGUUACCAUAUGGGUAGCUGGGAUGCCGUUCCAGCCUUACCCCUACUGUACCUGAAGUCUCAGAUUAUGAUUCACAAUGGCCAUCAGGUUUGUUUGGGUUUGUUAGGAUGACUUUGGAAAGGUUGAAGAUUGAAAAUUUGUAUAUUGAAGAAGAAAUGAAUUCUUUCUAAUGUAUUAGAUAGAUUUUUUGUUAUUAUUUAUUUAAGUAAGGUUGUAAAUUAUUCACAGAUUUGAUUUAUCAUUUCUAUUUAUAUUGUAAUUACUUUUAUUACAUAUAAUAAUAAUUAUAAUUUUUCCUCUAAA
Long non-coding RNA from Beta vulgaris subsp. vulgaris (sugar beet), 607 nucleotides. RefSeq lists it as uncharacterized. The record is from RefSeq and is a predicted model, not a curated record. Lineage: Eukaryota; Viridiplantae; Streptophyta; Magnoliopsida; Caryophyllales; Amaranthaceae. The transcript has 3 exons.